UUAAUAACAAAAUCUUUAAUACUUCGCAGCGGAAUUUAUUCAAUAACUAAAACCAGUCUUUGGCACUAAGGCCUCUUUACAAUUAUGUCAUAAAAAUCCAUUCUAAAAACAUAGUCAUAAUUCUUCAAAAACAAUACGUAAGGAAUAGAAAGCAAUAACAAAGUUCCCAUCCCGUUACGUAUCAGAGCACCUAGAGACACUUGAGCCACCACUCCUACUAAUCAUUAAUACCUGCAAGUUACUCAUACGAAGAGCAACAUUUUCAAGCAGAAGGGGUGUGAUUUCACAAAACAAUAAUAUCAAGCAUAUAAUUCAAUAAUUAUAUUUAACAACAUAAAUAACUUCAUCUAUUAGUAAUAAUAAUUUUUCAUGUAAUAAUUCUUAAUAGUUCAACCAACUUCUAAUUAUCAUUUACUUCAUAUUCAUCACAUUAUAAACAUCAUCAUAUAACACAUAAUAACCAAAUCAUAACCAACAUAGAUCAUCACAUCAUAGUUCAUAUACAACAUAACAACAUCUUAGUCAUAAUUCAUAUACAACAUAACAACAUCAUUAAUUCGUAAUAGUACUUAUUCAUCAAACAUCUCAUUAUCAAUUCAUGAAUAAAAGACAACUUAUCAAUUUAACAUAAACAUCAUCAAGUACACUUAACAACUCAUAGAUAUCAUCAUCACUAAUAACUUUAAAACAACACAAUGUAAUCAACAUCUCACUAUAAUAAUAAUCAUAUAUGACACAACAUAAUCAUCGCUUAAUAAUAAUAAUCAUAUACAAUACAACAUAAAUCAUCAUCUUAUAACGACAUGAACAACACAUAUUAAUCAUCUUAAUUAUAUAAUAACAACAUAUACAUCAUCUCGUCAUAAUAUAAUAAUAUAACAACAACAUAUUCAUCUUCAUAUAAUAAUAUAACAGCAACAACAUAUUCAUCAUCUUAUCAAAAUAUAAUCAACACAUACUAACACCAUAAUCAACAUAAACAUCUUAAACAUAAUCAUCUUAAACAAUAUCAUCUUAAACAUCAUAGCAUCUUUGAUAAACAAUUACCAAGUAAUCACAACAUUCGAUCAUCAUCAAUAACAUAACAAUAUCAUAAUCAAUAUCUUAAACAACAUAGCAACAUCUUAGUCAACAUCAUAUAAUUCACAUCAUAAACAUCGUAUAAUCUUCAUAGCUACUUCUUUAACAACACAUGGGUAGAAGACAACUCGUCAACUCAUAGAUGAUAAUUCAUCGACAACUUAACAACUCAUGGAUGAUAAUUCAUCAACAACGACCUUGACUCGACAAAUGCGACAAUGCAACUUAUACACUUAUAUGCAUGUGGUACCAAUCGUCAUCAUAAGUAUUAAUAUACUUUAAUCGUGCGGAGGACAAAGCUCCUAAACGUGCGGAGGACAAAGCUCCUAAUCGUGGUCAGGACAAAGCUCAAUGAAUGUUAAUGCAUGGACUCUAUCAACAAGACACUUUAAUCAACUUAUCACUUAUACAUCCAAUAAUUUGGAGUUCAUCAUCAACUUAUUCAUACUAAUAAUCGUGCGGAGGACAAAGCUCCUAAUAUAAUUCAAUAAUAUUUCGAGUAAUGCAUUUAAUCAUUAAAUCACAUUAUAAACAACUUAGCAGUUCAUAACAGCAACAGAAACAGCACAAGCAAUUCACAACAUAACAAUAUUAAUAUAAAGUAUAUUAAUAUGGCGUCAGGUUCGCCAGUGACAUUGCUUGAAGCGAGAUCUGCCUUCAACUGCUUCUUUUCUUCCUUCACUGCACCGGCGAGAUCUGCCUUCGCUGCAACGGCGAGAUCUUCAUUCACAGCACCGGCGGCGGCGGCCUCGCCCUCAAGGUCAUCAUACAAGAGUUUGUUGACUUCUACCGCUGUUGGUAAAUCGGUAGUUGUAACAUCCCGUUUUCCCAACAUAAAAAUUUCAUUUAAUAAUCAAAGUUAUUCACGUAAACGGAAUGCUACACUUCUUUUCUUAAAAUCAUAAACUGAAUAAAUAACUAUUUAUCAUUUAAAAUUUAAUAACAAAAUCUUUAAUACUUCGCAGCGGAAUUUAUUCAAUAACUAAAACCAGUCUUUGGCACUAAGGCCUCUUUACAAUUAUGUUAUAAAAAUCCAUUCUAAAAACAUAGUCAUAAUUCUUCAAAAACAAUACGUAAGGAAUAGAAAGCAAUAACAAAGUUCCCAUCCCGUUACGUAUCAGAGCACCUAGAGACACUUGAGCCACCACUUCUACUGAUCAUUAAUACCUGCAAGUUACUCAUACGAAGAGCAACAUUUUCAAGCAGAAGGGGUGAGAUUUCACAAAACAAUAAUAUCAAGCAUAUAAUUCAAUAAUUAUAUUUAACAACAUAAAUAACUUCAUCUAUUAGUAAUAAUAAUUUUUCAUGUAAUAAUUCUUAAUAGUUCAACCAACUUCUAAUUAUCAUUUACUUCAUAGUCAUCACAUUAUAAACAUCAUCAUAUAAUACAUAAUAACCAAAUCAUAACCAACAUAGAUCAUCACAUCAUAGUUCUGUUGAAACAAAAAUCUUUUUGAUGAAUGUUUUAAUGAUAACAAACCUUAUGGAAUAAAGACUAAGUUUUAUGAAUAGUGAUCUACUGAUGGUUGCACUUAAGUGUUUUCACAGAAGUAGACAAGAAAGAAGUCUCUUACAAGUGCAUAUAAAUACUCAGUAGAAGAACACCAAAACAAUCGCAUCACAAGCUCAAAGAAGAUAUCAAAAGAAUAUUGUUUGAAUCAAAUGAGUGUUUAUUGAAGAUUCAACAAGAAGAUAUAUUUUAUGAGCAAUUGACUCAUCCUCACCACCGCUUGGUUUUCAAUAAAGUCUUAAAGAUUCGAGGAAUAAAGGGUUAAUAUUUGAAAGAAAUGAUCUUCAAAUAGUUUCUAAAAGAGUUUAAGGCACAAAAGUUUCAUUCAAGAGAAUGAAUGUACCUUCAUGUUUACAUGCAUGCCUAAGCUAAAACAUCUCAAAGAUACUCAAUGGACAAAAAACAUUGUGUGCAAUCACCAAGAGAAAUUAUGUGCUAAAUUGCAUCAUCAACAAAAUAAUUCACGGUUAAUUAACCGAGAAUGUAUUGUCAUCUCAUAUAGAAGAAAACAUUAUCAACUCCGACGAAAGAAUGGUCUCAUGAUAAGGAUGCAUAUUACACUCGAAAUUAUUCUCAUCAUUUCAUCAAAAUGAUUAGAAUCAACUUUGAAGAGAAACCAAUUCAUGAAUAAAUUAUUUAUCAAGUCAUUCAUUAAUGAUAUUGAUAUCAAAAAAGAAAAUUCAUGAUCAUAUACUUGGAGAUUAUAUCAUAAAAGACUUAUGAUAGUCCAAGAAUCUUACAUCACUAUUCAAGAUAUGAUUUGGAGAAUAGAAAUCAAUCAAAGGAAUUUUGACUUUGAAAAAGGUUUCUCAUGUUCCUACAAAUAUCAUUCUUGUCAUACAAAGUGAAGAAAGCAUCCUCAUUUGAUGUUUUAAAAGAUAACAAAAAUAUUACAAUUAUUAUUUUGUUAUUCACUAAUGUGUUUUGUGAGAAUGUUUCAGUGAGAAUGUUCUGGAGAACGUUCUGGUCACUGUUCACAAAGCAAAUAAAUAAUUUUCAUCAAAAGACAAAUCAUCAAAAUGGAAAGCAUGACAUAAAUCCAAUACAAGAAUUUGUCUUGGGCUUAAAUGAUUUUUGAUCCAUUUGAAGCAAAGCUCAUUAAGGAAUAUGUCUCCAAAGUUACUAUCAUAUGACAUCAUCAAAGACAUCAUCUUAUGGCAUCAUGCAAUGACAUCAAGAUUACAUCAUCAUAAGUGGCCUCCAAGCUUCUACAAUCAAGAGAACAACUGGUUGCACUUUUACAACUCAUUACAGCUAGUAAAAGCGUGUCAAAUAUUUCUCAAGUCUAGCUGUAUGCAGAGAAUGUUCUGGAGAACGUUCUGCAAGUGCAAAAUUUCAUGUUUUCUCUCCAAGCAUCAAGUGGAGCCAAUUUUUCAGUUUGAAAUGAGUUCCAACAGCUCUUUUUUAGCUUGAUCUCCAAGACAUACAUCUUCUAUAAAUAGAGGACGUCUAUGAAGGUUAAAAGCAAGAGUUUGAAACACAAAGCAUUUAUCUCUCUCAAAGCAAAAGGCUAUCAAUCUCUUCAUCAAUGUCUUUUUCAAUCACAAAGCAAACUCCAUAAUCUUUCACUAUAUUUAUCAUCUUUAUCUCUCAUUGAGAACAUCUUUUUGAGUUUGUAUUUGUAAAAGGAUAGUUUGUUUGAGACACAAAGAUCCAAACAACAUCCUACAUAUUUUUGUUUGAGACGCUAGAUCCAAACAACAUCUUUCUUAUUUUUGUUUGAGACAUUAGAUCCAAACAAUCAUCCUACAAAGUGAUAACUAGAUCUCAAGUCUAUUGGGCUUAAUAGUUUGAGAUAGGAAGAGUUCCAACCUUUCUUGUGCGAAAGCAAAGAAUUGUAGAAGCCUGCUGAGGUUGAUAAUACAGGGGUUACAGACUGAUCUGGUGUGAUCAAGACCUUAUAGUGUUGGUUAGAAGUUUCUACCACUGUAUACUAUAAUGGAUAAUCUCACACGAAGUGUGGGGACUGGAAGUAGCCGAGUUUGGUGAACCAGGAUAACUCUUUUGUGUUAUUCUUCUCCCUCUCUCUCUCUCUCUCUCUAUCUUUUAUUUUUACACGAUAUGCACACACUAUCACAAGCAUUAAUAUUUAUUUAUCUCCAGAAUGUUCUGGUCCUAAUUAAUCACAACCAAAUUAAUCCAGAGUUCUCUGGUCCUUAAUUAACCAUAAUAUUAUUUUAUCAUUCAGUUUAAAUAAUUAAUCUUAUAAUUGUUAUCCAGAAUAUUCUGGUCCUAAUAUUACUUCUUAAUAUUUAUAUUCUUCCAGAGUUCUCUGGUCCUUGGUAUUUAUUAAUAUUGUUUUAGUAUUUCAGUCUCUUUAUUAAUUAUAUAAUUAUUAUCCAGAACAUUCUGGUCCUUAAUAAAACAAUUGUUUAAAUAUAUAAAUAUUUCAUAAUCUUCUUCUAUCUAACAUUUACCAAGAAUUUUCUUGAGUAUAUAAAGUUGUUAAGUUUCAGGAUUAAAAAAAAAAAAAGGGUCACAAUUCAAACCCCCCCUUUCUUGUGACUAUUUAUUUCACUUCAAGUUCAUAUACAACAUAACAACAUCAUUAAUUCGUAAUAGUACUUAUUCAUCAAACAUCUCAUUAUCAAUUCAUGAAUAAAAGACAGCUUAUCAAUUUAACAUAAACAUCAUCAAGUACACUUAACAACUCAUAGAUAUCAUCAUCACUAAUAACUUUAAAACAACACAAUGUAAUCAAAAUCUCACUAUAAUAAUAAUCAUAUAUGACACAACAUAAUCAUCGCUUAAUAAUAAUAAUCAUAUACAAUACAACAUAAAUCAUCAUCUUAUAACGACAUGAACAACACAUAUUAAUCAUCUUAAUUAUAUAAUAACAACAUAUACAUCAUCUCGUCAUAAUAUAAUAAUAUAACAACAACAUAUUCAUCUUCAUAUAAUAAUAUAACAGCAACAACAUAUUCAUCAUCUUAUCAAAAUAUAAUCAACACAUACUAACACCAUAAUCAACAUAAACAUCUUAAACAUAAUCAUCUUAAACAAUAUCAUCUUAAACAUCAUAGCAUCUUUGAUAAACAAUUACCAAGUAAUCACAACAUUCGAUCAUCAUCAAUAACAUAACAAUAUCAUAAUCAAUAUCUUAAACAACAUAGCAACAUCUUAGUCAACAUCAUAUAAUUCACAUCAUAAACAUCGUAUAAUCUUCAUAGGUACUUCUUUAACAACACAUGGGUAGAAGACAACUCGACAACUCAUAGAUGAUAAUUCAUCGACAACUUAACAAAUCAUGGAUGAUAAUUCAUCAACAACGACCUUGACUCGACAAAUGCGACAAUGCAACUUAUACACUUAUAUGCAUGUGGUACCAAUUGUCAUCAUAAGUAUUAAUAUACUUUAAUCGUGCGGAGGACAAAGCUCCUAAACGUGCGGAGGACAAAGCUCCUAAUCGUGGUCAGGACAAAGCUCAAUGAAUGUUAAUGCAUGGACUCUAUCAACAAGACACUUUAAUCAACUUAUCACUUAUACAUCCAAUAAUUUGGAGUUCAUCAUCAACUUAUUCAUACUAAUAAUCGUGCGGAGGACAAAGCUCCUAAUAUAAUUUAAUAAUAUUUCGAGUAAUGCAUUUAAUCAUUAAAUCACAUUAUAAACAACUUAGCAGUUCAUAACAGCAACAGAAACAGCACAAGCAAUUCACAACAUAACAAUAUUAAUAUAAAGUAUAUUAAUAUGGCGUCAGGUUCGCCAGUGACAAUGCUUGAAGCGAGAUCUGCCUUCAACUGCUUCUUUUCUUCCUUCACUGCACCGGCGAGAUCUGCCUUCGCUGCAACGGCGAGAUCUUCAUUCAAUGCACCGGCGGCGGCGGCCUCGCCCUCAAGGUCAUCAUACAAGAGUUUGUUGACUUCUACCGCUGUUGGUAAAUCGGUAGUUGUAACACCCCAUUUUCCCAACAUAAAAAUUUCAUUUAAUAAUCAAAGUUAUUCACGUAAACGGAAUGCUACACUUCUUUUCUUAAAAUCAUAAACUGAAUAAAUAACUAUUUAUCAUUUAAAAUUUAAUAACAAAAUCUUUAAUACUUCGCAGCGGAAUUUAUUCAAUAACUAAAACCAGUCUUUGGCACUAAGGCCUCUUUACAAUUAUGUUAUAAAAAUUCAUUCUAAAAACAUAGUCAUAAUUCUUCAAAAACAAUACGUAAGGAAUAGAAAGCAAUAACAAAGUUCCCAUCCCGUUACGUAUCAGAGCACCUAGAGACACUUGAGCCACCACUCCUACUAAUCAUUAAUACCUGCAAGUUACUCAUACGAAGAGCAACAUUUUCAAGCAGAAGGGGUGAGAUUUCACAAAACAAUAAUAUCAAGCAUAUAAUUCAAUAAUUAUAUUUAACAACAUAAAUAACUUCAUC
Molecule: long non-coding RNA, 6950 nt
Filed under: Medicago truncatula (barrel medic)
Lineage: Eukaryota; Viridiplantae; Streptophyta; Magnoliopsida; Fabales; Fabaceae
Description: long non-coding RNA (MTRU_LNC002943)
Source: RNAcentral